AGUGAACGCUGGCGGUAGGCCUAACACAUGCAAGUCGAACGGCAGCACAGUAAGAGCUUGCUCUUACGGGUGGCGAGUGGCGGACGGGUGAGGAAUACAUCGGAAUCUACUUUUUCGUGGGGGAUAACGUAGGGAAACUUACGCUAAUACCGCAUACGACCUACGGGUGAAAGCAGGGGAUCUUCGGACCUUGCGCGAUUGAAUGAGCCGAUGUCGGAUUAGCUAGUUGGCGGGGUAAAGGCCCACCAAGGCGACGAUCCGUAGCUGGUCUGAGAGGAUGAUCCGCCACAAUUGAACUGGGACACGGGCCAGACUCCCACGGGAGGCAGCAGUGGGGAAUAUUGGACAAUGGGCGCAAGCCUGAUCCAGCCAUACCGCGUGGGUGAAGAAGGCCUUCGGGUUGGAAAGCCCUUUUGUUGGGAAAGAAAAGCAGCAGGUUAAUACCCCGCUGUUCUGACGGUACCCAAAGAAUAAGCACCGGCUAACUUCG
RNAcentral lists this ribosomal RNA (490 nucleotides) under uncultured bacterium. RNAcentral describes it as "partial 16S ribosomal RNA". It matches the Rfam family "Bacterial small subunit ribosomal RNA", at positions 29 to 505 of the family's 1533-position model. The record is from RNAcentral.